This is a long non-coding RNA of Carassius auratus (goldfish), 637 nucleotides long. RefSeq lists it as uncharacterized. The record is from RefSeq and is a predicted model, not a curated record. The transcript has 3 exons. Lineage: Eukaryota; Metazoa; Chordata; Actinopteri; Cypriniformes; Cyprinidae.
UGUCCAUGACAUUACCCUUGUGGGGAUCUACAUAGGCAGGCACACAACCUAGUUGCAUCACGUUCACACCCAGGAUCACAUGAUGUUUUGAAAAGUCACAUGACCAAUUAGGAAGUGAUAAGUGUCUGCUGGUUGCAAGGCAGAUUCUCUUUGUGUUGGUGCUGGACACUGUUGUGCGUGUUGGGCUUCCUUUUCAGUGGUAAUUUCUAGAAGUGUGUGUCUACUCUUCAUGGAGGACACAGGCUUCUGCAUGGAGUUUUAAAAUGUGUUGUGAUCACCUCAUUGUGACCUGAGCUGCUGGGCUGCAUCGCAACGGAAUGUUCACCUUUGUCUUCAUAUGUCAAUGAGCUGUGGGACAGUUGAGCAUACUGAAAAGUAGGCCUAUAUUUUUUAGCCAUGUUUGAGUUGACUAUGAUAUGCUGUUUAAUGAGGCUGGCAACUAACAUGAUUGUUUAUUUCCCAAAAGGGACCAGGCCAGCCACUGUUUUCUUGUGAUUAAUGUGCAUUUUUUUAUUGUUUUGUUGGUUUGUUUGUGUGAUGUGAUUUUGCUUCUGGGCCUACCACCCAUGUGCCCUACUGGUAGUAGCAUUGUUCCUUAAACUGGUGUUAUCCGUGCUGGUGGGUCUCCUCCCUAACU